GAAGGUAUAGCCCAGGGGUAGAGCGCAUGCUUAGUGUGCACGAGAUCCUGGGUUCAAUCUCCAGUACCUCCA
RNAcentral lists this transfer RNA (72 nucleotides) under Camelus bactrianus (Bactrian camel). It matches the Rfam family "tRNA". Rfam says of the family: Transfer RNA (tRNA) molecules are approximately 80 nucleotides in length. Their secondary structure includes four short double-helical elements and three loops (D, anti-codon, and T loops). RNAcentral also lists the same sequence under 2 other names. Lineage: Eukaryota; Metazoa; Chordata; Mammalia; Artiodactyla; Camelidae. The record is from Rfam by way of RNAcentral.